RNAcentral lists this ribosomal RNA (497 nucleotides) under uncultured bacterium. Its description in RNAcentral is "partial 16S ribosomal RNA". It matches the Rfam family "Bacterial small subunit ribosomal RNA", at positions 28 to 507 of the family's 1533-position model. The record is from RNAcentral.
GAUGAACGCUGGCGGCGUGCCUAAUACAUGCAAGUCGAGCGAACGGAUGAGAAGCUUGCUUCUCUGAUGUUAGCGGCGGACGGGUGAGUAACACGUGGGUAACCUACCUAUAAGACUGGGAUAACUUCGGGAAACCGGAGCUAAUACCGGAUAAUAUUUUGAACCGCAUGGUUCGAUAGUGAAAGACGGUCUUGCUGUCACUUAUAGAUGGAUCCGCGCUGCAUUAGCUAGUUGGUAAGGUAACGGCUUACCAAGGCGACGAUACGUAGCCGACCUGAGAGGGUGAUCGGCCACACUGGAACUGAGACACGGUCCAGACUCCUACGGGAGGCAGCAGUAGGGAAUCUUCCGCAAUGGGCGAAAGCCUGACGGAGCAACGCCGCGUGAGUGAUGAAGGUCUUCGGAUCGUAAAACUCUGUUAUUAGGGAAGAACAUACGUGUAAGUAACUGUGCACGUCUUGACGGUACCUAAUCAGAAAGCCACGGCUAACUACGUG